RNAcentral lists this transfer RNA (88 nucleotides) under Puniceicoccaceae bacterium. RNAcentral describes it as "tRNA-Ser". It matches the Rfam family "tRNA". Rfam says of the family: Transfer RNA (tRNA) molecules are approximately 80 nucleotides in length. Their secondary structure includes four short double-helical elements and three loops (D, anti-codon, and T loops). Further hydrogen bonds mediate the characteristic L-shaped molecular structure. tRNAs have two regions of fundamental functional importance: the anti-codon, which is responsible for specific mRNA codon recognition, and the 3' end, to which the tRNAs corresponding amino acid is attached (by aminoacyl-tRNA synthetases). tRNAs cope with the degeneracy of the genetic code in two manners: having more than one tRNA (with a specific anti-codon) for a particular amino acid; and 'wobble' base-pairing, i.e. permitting non-standard base-pairing at the 3rd anti-codon position. The record is from RNAcentral. Lineage: Bacteria; Pseudomonadati; Verrucomicrobiota; Opitutia; Puniceicoccales; Puniceicoccaceae.
GGAGAGAUGGCAGAGUGGUCGAAUGCGGUAGUCUUGAAAACUAUUGAGCCGUAAGGUUCCGGGGGUUCGAAUCCCUCUCUCUCCGCCA